GUCUAUGGCAGUGCCCUGAAGAUGCCUAAUUUCUUCUGGUCUGUGAAGCUAAGCAGGGUGGGGCCUGGUUCAGUGCUUGGAAGGGAGACUGCCUGGGAAUACCGGGUGCUGUAGGCU
Ribosomal RNA from Gorilla gorilla gorilla (western lowland gorilla), 117 nucleotides. NCBI's taxonomy places the organism in Eukaryota, Metazoa, Chordata, Mammalia, Primates, Hominidae. The record is from Ensembl.